Molecule: ribosomal RNA, 451 nt
Filed under: uncultured organism
Description: partial 16S ribosomal RNA
Rfam family: Bacterial small subunit ribosomal RNA
Source: RNAcentral
CGUACACUCCUGCGGGAGGCAGCAGUGGGGAAUAUUGGACAAUGGGCGCAAGCCUGAUCCAGCCAUGCCGCGUGAGUGAUGAAGGCCCUAGGGUUGUAAAGCUCUUUCACCGGUGAAGAUAAUGACGGUAACCGGAGAAGAAGCCCCGGCUAACUUCGUGCCAGCAGCCGCGGUAAUACGAAGGGGGCUAGCGUUGUUCGGAUUUACUGGGCGUAAAGCGCACGUAGGCGGACUAUUAAGUCAGGGGUGAAAUCCCGGGGCUCAACCCCGGAACUGCCUUUGAUACUGGUAGUCUGGAGUUCGAGAGAGGUGAGUGGAAUUCCGAGUGUAGAGGUGAAAUUCGUAGAUAUUCGGAGGAACACCAGUGGCGAAGGCGGCUCACUGGCUCGAUACUGACGCUGAGGUGCGAAAGCGUGGGGAGCAAACAGGAUUAGAUACCCCGGUAGUCCCA